Long non-coding RNA from Helianthus annuus (common sunflower), 714 nucleotides. RefSeq lists it as uncharacterized. NCBI's taxonomy places the organism in Eukaryota, Viridiplantae, Streptophyta, Magnoliopsida, Asterales, Asteraceae. The record is from RefSeq and is a predicted model, not a curated record. The transcript has 3 exons.
ACUUGGCUGGCUUUGGUUGGCUGGUUCAAUAAGGCUGGUUUUGGUUGGCUACUUUAAUUAAAAAAAAUUCACAUGGCUGGCCACGCCACGCCCCUCAUUUUUCACCAUAAGCUUGUGGAUCCUACCCUCAUCACGUGUCGAGCAAUGCCCCCAACCCAAGCCCCUCCACUGUCUGCAGUCUUAAAGACUUUUGUAUUCGGAUUAUCUAUAUUAUGGUUUAAAUAUAUGAAUAGUCCAUUAAAUUAAAGGUUAAAGCCAAAACUAAUAUGUUUUUUUCAUGACAUCAACUCUUCAACGACAUGCUAUGUGCUUUUUUGUUUUCUCAAAGAAAAUAUGAUGUUGAUAAAUCUUGGAUUUUUUAAUGAUAACCAUUAUUUUAAUCAUUGUACGUUAAGUGGUCAAGUUCCUUGUUUUGAUUUACAUCUGAAGUAAUCAUAUUGAUUUGCAACUGCAACUGUAUGGAAAUAGAUUGCUUCAUUCCAAUUCUAAGUUUGUCUCUAAAUAUUCAUAUGUUCUAUCUGGUUGAGUAACAUGAUAAACUUGCCCCAGUUUUGUCCUGUUUGUGUUUCUUGGCGCUCUGAUGGAAGGAGCUUGUGGAGAAAGCACGAUCUCAGCAGCUACAGCCCCAUGUAUACAACUCAGGGACUUUCACUCUCUCCAACUUAGGAAUGUUUGGAGUGGAUCGCUUUGAUGCUAUUCUACCACCUGGGCAGG